AGGAUUAUAGUUUAUUAAAAACUUUUGAUUUGCAUUCAAAUAAUAUUGAUAUAUAAUCAAUUUAUCUUA
This 69-nucleotide transfer RNA is filed under the name Prismosticta microprisma. RNAcentral describes it as "tRNA-Ala". It matches the Rfam family "tRNA". Rfam says of the family: Transfer RNA (tRNA) molecules are approximately 80 nucleotides in length. Their secondary structure includes four short double-helical elements and three loops (D, anti-codon, and T loops). Further hydrogen bonds mediate the characteristic L-shaped molecular structure. tRNAs have two regions of fundamental functional importance: the anti-codon, which is responsible for specific mRNA codon recognition, and the 3' end, to which the tRNAs corresponding amino acid is attached (by aminoacyl-tRNA synthetases). tRNAs cope with the degeneracy of the genetic code in two manners: having more than one tRNA (with a specific anti-codon) for a particular amino acid; and 'wobble' base-pairing, i.e. permitting non-standard base-pairing at the 3rd anti-codon position. Lineage: Eukaryota; Metazoa; Arthropoda; Insecta; Lepidoptera; Endromidae. The record is from RNAcentral.